AGACCCGGGGAACUGAAACAUCUAAGUACCCGGAGGAAGAGAAAGCAAACGCGAUUCCCUGAGUAGCGGCGAGCGAAACGGGAUUAGCCCAAACCAGAAGGCUUGCCUUCUGGGGUUGUAGGACACUCUAUGUGGAGUUACAAAGGAACGGGGUAGAUGAAGAGGUCUGGAAAGGCCCGUCAGAGAAGGUAAAAACCCUGUAGUUGAAACUUCGUUCCCUCCUGAGUGGAUCCUGAGUACGGCGGGACACGUGAAAUCCCGUCGGAAGCAGGGAGGACCAUCUCCCAAGGCUAAAUACUCCCUAGUGACCGAUAGUGAACCAGUACCGUGAGGGAAAGGUGAAAAGCACCCCGGAAGGGGAGUGAAAGAGAUCCUGAAACCGUGUGCCUACAAGUAGUCAGAGCCCGUUCAUGGGUGAUGGCGUGCCUUUUGUAGAAUGAACCGGCGAGUUACGAUUGCAUGCAAGGUUAAGUUGAAGAGACGGAGCCGCAGCGAAAGCGAGUCUGAACAGGGCGAAUCAGUAUGCAGUUGUAGACCCGAAACCAGGUGAUCUACCCAUGUCCAGGGUGAAGUCCAGGUAACACUGGAUGGAGGCCCGAACCCACGCACGUUGAAAAGUGCGGGGAUGAGGUGUGGGUAGCGGAGAAAUUCCAAUCGAACCUGGAGAUAGCUGGUUCUCUCCGAAAUAGCUUUAGGGCUAGCCUCACGGCUUUUGAGUCUUGGAGGUAGAGCACUGUUUGGACUAGGGGCCCUCAUCGGGUUACCGAAUUCAGACAAACUCCGAAUGCCAAUGACUUAUCCGUGGGAGUCAGACUGCGAGUGAUAAGAUCCGUAGUCGAAAGGGAAACAGCCCAGACCACCAGCUAAGGUCCCAAAGUAUACGUUAAGUGGAAAAGGAUGUGGAGUUGCUUAGACAACCAGGAUGUUGGCUUAGAAGCAGCCACCAUUUAAAGAGUGCGUAAUAGCUCACUGGUCGAGUGACUCUGCGCCGAAAAUGUACCGGGGCUAAACGUAUCACCGAAGCUGUGGGUGGACAUCUUGCGAUGUCCGCGGUAGGAGAGCGUUCUAAGGGCGUUGAAGCCAGACCGUAAGGACUGGUGGAGCGCUUAGAAGUGAGAAUGCCGGUAUGAGUAGCGAAAGAUGGGUGAGAAUCCCAUCCACCGUAUGCCUAAGGUUUCCUGAGGAAGGCUCGUCCUCUCAGGGUUAGUCGGGACCUAAGCCGAGGCCGAAAGGCGUAGGCGAUGGACAACAGGUUGAUAUUCCUGUACCACCUCUUCAUCAUUUGAGCAAUGGGGGGACGCAGGAGGAUAGGGUAAGCGCGCUGCUGGAAUAGCGCGUCCAAGCAGUUAGGCUGGGAAAUAGGCAAAUCCGUUUCCCGUGAAGGCUGAGCUGUGACGGCGAGGGAAAUAUAGUACCGAAGUUCCUGAUUCCACACUGCCAAGAAAAGCCUCUAGCGAGAUGAAAGGUGCCCGUACCGCAAACCGACACAGGUAGGCGAGGAGAGAAUCCUAAGGUGAGCGAGAGAACUCUCGUUAAGGAACUCGGCAAAAUGACCCCGUAACUUCGGGAGAAGGGGUGCUUUUUAGGGUGUUAAAGCCCGGAAAAGCCGCAGUGAAUAGGCCCAGGCGACUGUUUAGCAAAAACACAGGUCUCUGCGAAGCCGCAAGGCGAAGUAUAGGGGCUGACGCCUGCCCGGUGCUGGAAGGUUAAGAGGAGGGGUUAGCUCACGCGAAGCUCUGAAUCGAAGCCCCAGUAAACGGCGGCCGUAACUAUAACGGUCCUAAGGUAGCGAAAUUCCUUGUCGGGUAAGUUCCGACCCGCACGAAAGGCGUAACGAUCUGGGCACUGUCUCAACGAGAGACUCGGUGAAAUUAUAGUACCUGUGAAGAUGCAGGUUACCCGCGACAGGACGGAAAGACCCCGUGGAGCUUUACUGCAGCCUGAUAUUGAAUUUUGGUACAGCUUGUACAGGAUAGGUAGGAGCCUUGGAAACCGGAGCGCCAGCUUCGGUGGAGGCGUCGGUGGGAUACUACCCUGGCUGUAUUGAAAUUCUAACCCGCGCCCCUCAUCGGGGCGGGAGACAGUGUCAGGCGGGCAGUUUGACUGGG
Molecule: ribosomal RNA, 2108 nt
Filed under: Rheinheimera mesophila
Lineage: Bacteria; Pseudomonadati; Pseudomonadota; Gammaproteobacteria; Chromatiales; Chromatiaceae
Description: bacterial LSU rRNA
Rfam family: Bacterial large subunit ribosomal RNA
Source: RNAcentral